CGUGGUCUUGCAACAGUGGCGUGAAAAAUCAAGUGUUUGGUUCUUGGUAUGGCUACUCUUAAUUUGGACAUGGUUAUUGAAUUGAUGGCAACCUUUCCGUGCUUGGAGAAGUUGUACAUUCAGUGCCAGAAAUCAUGGAAAAACAAUUUGUGGCGUCGUAAAUACCGGGGUCUCAUUACCAGCACAUGUUUUGACAUCCAUCUGAAAACAAUAGUAUUGGAUUAUUAUCGGGGCACAAAAUCUGACAUUGAUUUUGUUACUUUUUUCGUGCUCAAUGCUAGAGUGCUUGAAAGGAUGAAACUUAUAGUAAAGAGGAACGAUGAUAAGUUCGUGGCAAUACACCGUCAUAGGCUUCAACUAAUGAACAGGGCUUCACAUGGUGCUCAUAUUAACUUUCGACGCAAGGAUUCGGAUGUGUGUAUCAGUAACAUGUACAAUUUUUGUAUACAGGAAAAUAUUUUAAAUUUGUAGCUGUUUACAUGCAAUUGUAAAACACUUGUUCUACUAGAAAUACAGCCAGCGACAUUAAAGUUACUAA
Hordeum vulgare subsp. vulgare (domesticated barley) is the source of this 538-nucleotide long non-coding RNA. RefSeq lists it as uncharacterized. The transcript has 2 exons. Lineage: Eukaryota; Viridiplantae; Streptophyta; Magnoliopsida; Poales; Poaceae. The record is from RefSeq and is a predicted model, not a curated record.